This 23-nucleotide non-coding RNA is filed under the name Rattus norvegicus (Norway rat). The record is from RNAcentral. Lineage: Eukaryota; Metazoa; Chordata; Mammalia; Rodentia; Muridae.
GUGAUAAAAUAUUGUGACCUAGA